Molecule: ribosomal RNA, 252 nt
Filed under: uncultured bacterium
Lineage: Bacteria
Description: partial 16S ribosomal RNA
Rfam family: Bacterial small subunit ribosomal RNA
Source: RNAcentral
UACGUAGGUGGCAAGCGUUGUCCGGAUUUAUUGGGCGUAAAGCGCGCGCAGGUGGUGCGGUAAGUCUGCCGUGAAAUCUCCCGGCUCAACCGGGAGGGUGCGGUGGAGACUGCCGGACUAGAGGUACCUAGAGGCCGGUGGAAUUCCCGGUGUAGUGGUGAAAUGCGUAGAGAUCGGGAGGAACACCAGUGGCGAAGGCGGCCGGCUGGGGGUGACCUGACGCUGAGGCGCGAAAGCGUGGGGAGCGAACCG